GAUGAACGCUGGCGGCGUGCCUAAUACAUGCAAGUCGAGCGAACAGAUGAGGAGCUUGCUCCUCUGACGUUAGCGGCGGACGGGUGAGUAACACGUGGAUAACCUACCUAUAAGACUGGGAUAACUUCGGGAAACCGGAGCUAAUACCGGAUAAUAUAUUGAACCGCAUGGUUCAAUAGUGAAAGACGGUUUUGCUGUCACUUAUAGAUGGAUCCGCGCCGCAUUAGCUAGUUGGUAAGGUAACGGCUUACCAAGGCAACGAUGCGUAGCCGACCUGAGAGGGUGAUCGGCCACACUGGAACUGAGACACGGUCCAGACUCCUACGGGAGGCAGCAGUAGGGAAUCUUCCGCAAUGGGCGAAAGCUUGACGGAGCAACGCCGCGUGAGUGAUGAAGGUCUUCGGAUCGUAAAACUCUGUUAUUAGGGAAGAACAAAUGUGUAAGUAACUAUGCACGUCUUGACGGUACCUAAUCAGAAAACCACGGCUAACUACGUG
This 497-nucleotide ribosomal RNA is filed under the name uncultured bacterium. Its description in RNAcentral is "partial 16S ribosomal RNA". It matches the Rfam family "Bacterial small subunit ribosomal RNA", at positions 28 to 507 of the family's 1533-position model. The record is from RNAcentral.